RNAcentral lists this long non-coding RNA (740 nucleotides) under Struthio camelus australis. Its description in RNAcentral is "lncRNA (ENSSCUG00000002205.1)". Lineage: Eukaryota; Metazoa; Chordata; Aves; Struthioniformes; Struthionidae. The record is from RNAcentral.
AAAGUUUGGCUUUCGUUAACUAAAUCCAGGUGGGGACCAAUGAAAUGAAUGGUAGCGCGUAGUGCUCAAAGGAGAGUUGUUCGCUCCAGUAAUGAAUUUGGGGACUUUGGAUUUUCAGAGAACAGCAACAAGAUUUCUUGUCCUUCUCGGCAUUGAAUGACAUGGAAAACCUGAAAGAAACAGUCCAGUUCACGCUCUGCAUUUGCAAUGUGAAUUGCACCUUCUGGCGGAUUGCGAUAGCAAAUGGAGAUCAGAGAAGCAAAGCAGAAGGGAAGGAAGUGGAGGCCACGAGCACAGUAGUGCUACAGGAGAUAGAAAAGUGACCUACAAAUGUAGGUAUCCUGUUUUUGAUGGGAGCAGCUGACGCACAGAGCAGUGAAAUGCCUUGCCUGAAGUUGCUCUGCAAAUUGGUCACGGAGCCUGGAAUAACAUCCGUACUGCUCUGAGUGUUGCAGUAACGAUUCCUUAGGCUGGUAGGCAGCUCGGUGUGUCUGGACAGCAGCACGGCUGUCGUCGAAGAGCCACUCGCAGUUGUUGGCACACCACUUUGUGAGCAGAAGGAGAACGCUGGAGGAGCAAAACAACAGGAUCUUCUGGAUGGUCAGCGUUAUCUUAUGCAGCCUGGUGCCCUCUGUCUUCCAGAAUUUCUCCCCAAGGAGAGUGCCGGUGCCCGCUGCCUGCAGAGGCUUGGCAGCGCUGCCUUCCCGAAGGGAUGCCUUUCCUUUGGGGAUGUAACCUUG